ACCGUGAUAGUCUAGUGGUGAGGACAUUGCGUUGUGGCCGCAAAGACCCAGGUUCGAAUCCUGGCCACGGCA
This is a non-coding RNA of Paragonimus kellicotti, 72 nucleotides long. NCBI's taxonomy places the organism in Eukaryota, Metazoa, Platyhelminthes, Trematoda, Plagiorchiida, Troglotrematidae. The record is from the annotation of a GenBank genome assembly.